This 253-nucleotide ribosomal RNA is filed under the name uncultured bacterium. Its description in RNAcentral is "partial 16S ribosomal RNA". It matches the Rfam family "Bacterial small subunit ribosomal RNA", at positions 524 to 776 of the family's 1533-position model. The record is from RNAcentral.
UACGAAGGGGGCUAGCGUUGUUCGGAAUCACUGGGCGUAAAGGGCGCGUAGGCGGCCGAUCAAGUCGGGGGUGAAAGCCUGUGGCUCAACCACAGAAUUGCCUUCGAUACUGUUUGGCUUGAGACCGGAAGAGGUUAGUGGAACUGCGAGUGUAGAGGUGAAAUUCGUAGAUAUUGGGAAGAACACCGGUGGCGAAGGCGACCAUCUGGACGACAACUGACGCUGAGGCGCGAAAGCGUGGGGAGCAAACAGG